UGCGGGCCGGGCGCUCGGGCCGGGAAACGUUCUCGGAACCGGGAGGCUCGGCGGGCUUGAGAAAAGAGGGACAUCCCCAACCCCCGGUUCCCGGGGAGCAUCUGGGAAUGUAGAGAAGUUAGUGAAGCUGACGUGAAAUUUCGCAGAGUAGGACUUGGAGAGGAAUUGCCCUGGGCUGAGUAAACAUUGACCUGAGACGGCUCCGCGCUUGAA
RNAcentral lists this long non-coding RNA (213 nucleotides) under Homo sapiens (human). RNAcentral's name for it is "HSALNT0400773". The record is from RNAcentral. Lineage: Eukaryota; Metazoa; Chordata; Mammalia; Primates; Hominidae.